Molecule: long non-coding RNA, 835 nt
Organism: Rhea pennata
Lineage: Eukaryota; Metazoa; Chordata; Aves; Rheiformes; Rheidae
Exons: 4
Source: RefSeq, a predicted model, not a curated record
GACUGGAGAAAAGAAACAGACUCGAGCGGCAAGCAGGUAUACCAUCUGAUAAAUGAAGUGAGUAAGCAGAGAGCCUACCAGGCCAUCAGUAGUAAAUCCACAAAAGGUUAAUGAAGCCUGAAACUACCGUCAUUUUUGUGCAAUGGCCUCUCUGCAACCUCUUUGAAGGAGACACCUCUGUGGUGUGAGCUGAGGAGAAAUGUAGCAACACACUUCCAAGGGAAACAAGCUGCAGCUGGGCAGUAGAGGAAUUAAUGUGGAAUCCUUUUUCCUUCAGAGGAGUAAAAGGCAGCUCUGGGAAGGAUAGACAAGUAGUCCACAGGCUAGUUCCUGGGAUGCUUGUGCUUCAGAGUUACACCGGAGAGGUGAGUCAAUGAGAAAACCUGAAUGCUAAAUGGCAUUUCGAGAAUUAAGCCUUAUAUGUGGACUUGAUCUGAAUGAGAAGAACAGGACGUGCAGUCGGUGUUUUACGCAGACACCCAAGACUCUGCUUGCUGUUCCUGUCCCCUGUCAAUAGUAUUUCUGCAAACCUGGUCACUGCGUGGGACAUGUGCUUCUGUAGACCAGCAGUCUAAAAUUAAAAGUAGUUCAUUUGUCUGAAGCAGCAGCCGAAACAGAAAUAUAAGAUAAGACUUGAUUUUUUGGAAAAUAGUUGGCGAAUUUGGUAAUCCACCCACUUGUGUGUUGUAAUGGUCUGAUAACUUGCGGGGAAGCUCACACAUCUGGAUCCCAGCCCUGAUACAACACCACUGAAUUAGGUAAAUGAAAGUUUGCUUAAGUCGAUAUAGUGGCUGGAGCUAAGUGACAAUAUUCAGAUGAAAUAAAAGAACCUUCA